This is a non-coding RNA of Lolium perenne, 2210 nucleotides long. NCBI's taxonomy places the organism in Eukaryota, Viridiplantae, Streptophyta, Magnoliopsida, Poales, Poaceae. The record is from RefSeq and is a predicted model, not a curated record.
GCUCUAAGCUCCCAGGGUUCCGGCGGCCUGUGGUUGAUCCACGACUUGAGACCCACAGUCAGCGACCCAAUAAUAACCGACUUUGAGGAGAAGAAAAACUUGCACGACCCACCUGGAACGCUCGAAACCGCCUCCACCUGCAGUCUUCACGCCGACCUCCUCCACUUCACCCGUCCUCAUCCCUCCUCUCCCCCACAGUCCCUUCGGACCGGCGGCCACACGCUGCUCCUCUCCCCCGUCCCCUCCGCCCCCAAUCCCCUCCCACACGUGCGACCUGACCUCCUGGUCGUCGGCGAGCUCGGCAUCGCCGCCAUGGAGGUCGGGGGCGCCGCGUCCUGCCUCCUUUGAAGCACCGAGCGGUCCAGCAAUUAGCUGUUGCCGACAUCCGCCCGGACUCCAGGUCACAGCAACCGGAGAACAUAUGUCUGAAGUGGAGUGCGGUGCACUUCUAACACAAGUAUCUGACCACGUUUAAGAAGCUCGUGACAAUAUAUGAUGUAUGCCUAGGACUAACUUCAGUUGGGACUCACCUCAGCAUCGCAACAGCAUAAUUGCUGCAGUUCCUCAUGCUCCUUGGCUCUCAUUCCACAUGGCAGAGAACUUCUGGCUGCUUCUAGCUGCUUUAAACAAAGUCUGGUUAUCCCAGAAGGUCAGCUUCAUGGACGAGGCUACAGCCAUAGUUGCAGCAUCAAAAGCUAUACACGAUACCGAGAAAGCAUUAGGUGCGAGUCCUAGGAAAAUACGAGUUGCAGUUAGGGAGUCAAGGCAGUUGACGGAGUGACGAAAGGCAUAGGUUGUUAAUGGGCAAGUUUCAAGCCCCAGCGGAGGGAAAUCACAACCUGACAUCCUUAUGCUUGUGCGACGCAUGUAUAGGCUGUGAUAGCAAGACUAGAUUUAAGCUGAAGGCUGAAGCUCAACAGCGCGGUAACAAGAGCCCAUGCGCCUGGUGUAGGUCCAGUGGGGGAGGAUGGCAUUGAGGAGGAAGAGGAGGAGGAAGAAGAGGAAUACAACGAUUACGAGAAGAAGUACAGUGAUGACGAGGAAGAAGAGAAGAACAAGGGAAAAGGCAAGGUUGCAAAUGGAGUAGUGCAUAAAAAGUCGAUAGAACACAUUGUUAUUCAGGAAGGACCUGAAGUAGCUGCAGUUGAAUCCUAGGUUGUUUGUCAUGGCAAUGUGCAAGUUUGAUCCCAGCCGGUGGGGAGGUUUGGCGUAUUCAGCGGUGUGCCAUUGGAAAAGCUUCAGACCGGCUCUACUGGAGUAUGCAUAACUGAAGUAUUGCGUCCGAGCAUCGUUCCAGAUGUAAGCUAAAAAUUUACUUAGACUAUGUAUACAAUUUUUUCUCCGCUAUGCUUGGUAGGCAACAAUCCAAUAAUUGUUUUUCUUUCUAAAAUCUAUUCCUUUUGUUACAUGUUUUCUGCAUGUUAAGUCACGAACAUGACAAAUUAUGGUCUUUUGGGUGAUAAGAAGGAAAGCUGGUGCUGAGUUGUUGUUAUUGAUGUCCUUUGGUAAGGUAAUAGAAGACGUAUAUAUUUUUCUGGUUCUUCCAUUAGGAGCCGAGAAUGACACUUUUGUUCUUACUGUGAUUCCAAAUUUAUUUCUCCUCAACAGGUUAUUGGGGCAUAGUUUGGUAUCUGGCAACUGGGCUGAGGCAAAUUAUUUUACUUUUAUCUUAUCUUAAACAUUUUGGUGUGUGGUCUUGAAUGGUUAGAUACCAUGUCUAAGUUGUACUUCGACUACCUAAUGGCUACAGUGUUCAAGUUAUUGUUCUUUAAAUAGACGUCUUAUAAAUUGAGUGUCACUGUAAUCAGCUUUCUUGAUUUAAUCUCAGUUAUGUUAGUUCGUCACUUGCAUACUGAAUAGAUAACUUAGUUGGACCUAUGUUAGUUCGUCCUUUGAAUUGAUUUUGUAGUAGCAGUGAAAGAAUGUUUGUACCAUUCCUAAUUACCUUGGAUAUCAAUUCUGUAAAUCAGUUCUGAUGGGUAAUAAAGUAUGUAUGGCUCUGUCAAGUUUGUGUUCUUAGUGACCAGAUAUGAGAUCCAAAACUCAUGGAUAGCCCUAUUUUAAUAUAUUUUCUCAUACCUUGCCAAUAAGAUGUGACAUUUCUCUGUCGUUUGUUGUUAGUGAAAUGCAUAGUUUGUUGUUAGUGAAAUGCAUACGAAAUAAGAAAACGUAAGUACCAAAAACGGCGCAGCAACGCGCGCAGGGUCCUU